Cyprinus carpio carpio is the source of this 1214-nucleotide long non-coding RNA. NCBI's taxonomy places the organism in Eukaryota, Metazoa, Chordata, Actinopteri, Cypriniformes, Cyprinidae. The record is from Ensembl.
UUUCUUUAUGAAUAGAAUUUAUUAAUGAAAAAUGUGACCUGGACAUGUUUUUUUGAGGUUCUCUGUUUUCCAUUUAAAUGUGACUUUCAGAAAUCAAACUGAAAAGUUUCCUCUUGAGAAAAAGCAACAGGUUCGGCAGCAUUUAAUGCACCGUUUGACAGAAAAGAGUUUAAUUUCACGCCCUCAUGUUUCCUCUGAGGUGCUGCGCUCUGAUUGGCUGUCCUGGUUUGGGCCAGGUUCAUGCCGCCCAUCAGUUCUUUUAUUUUCUGUCCGUGUGUUUCCAUGCACCACAGAUUGAGAUAAUAAAUAAUGGAUGAUAUUUAAAUGAGGAAUGAUGUGGGCGAUCUUUACUCUGGAGGGGGAUCUGUCUCUGGUUUAUUGCUCAGUAUCUGAGUUCAGAUGUUUUGUUUGUUUUAAUGCAUCUGUCCGUCUGUGUUGCGCUGGAUUGUGAUUGACACUGUGAGAUUUGCUGGAGAGUGAAUCAGAAGGUGCUGUAUGCUGUUAUGAGAGACAAACUUCAAUUAUAACUCAAUUCUGUUGAACUGUAUGUCUGCACUCCUUUUCAGACUUACAGUGCAUUCAGGCUAACAUUUUUUACCUAACAUGUGUUCCCUGGGAAUCGAACCCACAACCUUUUGCACUGCUGACACAAUGCUUUACCACUGAGCCACCACAUAACAUAAUAGUUAUUAAUGCAUAAUAGUAUAUAAUAUAUAUAACUAUUAAUAUAACAUAAUAGUUAUUAAUGCUUCACGUGCUUGACUUUUAACAGCAGUGGCAGAGUUUCACGGAAAGGUCAAAUAUCAAAUUAUGGGCCGUAUUCAGGACUAUAUUUAAUUUGACUUUGGAAAGCCUGUGAGCCAAAAAGGUUGAACUCUAAGGUUAUAUGUAUUUCCAAAAAAAGUCUUAAUAUUUCAUCAUGUUUGACAUUUCUUUCCCUUAAGCUUAAUUUUCACAUCCUUCAAAUUAAACAUGGUGUCUCUCCUGAAUAAUGUCUAGAAUACAGAAUAAAAUAUGAUGAACUAGAAAUAUGUGGGCAGAAAAUAGUUUGAUCCACUCUGAAGCAAGAUAAAAAAAUAAAUUAAAAAAAAGUUUGGAAUAUUUUCAUGUUUUUUAAUGUUUUGAAAAAAGGCUGCAUUUAUUUGCAUUAAAAUACAGUAAAAUUAUUAAGUAUUAUUAGAAUGUAAAAAUGAUUAUUAGAAUGAUUUCUGAAG